Molecule: ribosomal RNA, 460 nt
Filed under: uncultured bacterium
Lineage: Bacteria
Description: bacterial SSU rRNA
Rfam family: Bacterial small subunit ribosomal RNA
Source: RNAcentral
UGCAGGCAGCAGUGGGGAAUCUUGCACAAUGGGCGUAAGCCUGAUGCAGCGACGCCGCGUGAGCGAUGAAGGCCUUCGGGUUGUAAAGCUCUGUGGGGAGGGACGAAUAUGGCAUGGCUAAUAUCCAUGUCGAUGACGGUACCUCCUUAGCAAGCACCGGCUAACUCUGUGCCAGCAGCCGCGGUAAGACAGAGGGUGCAAACGUUGUUCGGAAUCACUGGGCGUAAAGCGCGUGUAGGCGGCUAUGUAAGUCGGACGUGAAAUCCCACGGCUCAACCGUGGAAGUGCGCUCGAAACUGUGUAGCUUGAGUCCUGGAGAGGAAGACGGAAUACUUGGUGUAGAGGUGAAAUUCGUAGAUAUCAGGUAGAACACCAGUGGCGAAGGCGGUCUUCUGGACAGUGACUGACGCUGAGACGCGAAAGCGUGGGGAGCAAACAGGAUUAGAUACCCCUGUAGUCC